This 270-nucleotide unclassified non-coding RNA is filed under the name Pestalotiopsis rhododendri. Its description in RNAcentral is "partial internal transcribed spacer region". The stretch from base 1 to 46 matches the Rfam family "Eukaryotic small subunit ribosomal RNA", at positions 1786 to 1831 of the family's 1831-position model. The record is from RNAcentral. Lineage: Eukaryota; Fungi; Ascomycota; Sordariomycetes; Amphisphaeriales; Sporocadaceae. RNAcentral also lists the same sequence under 1 other name.
AAGUCGUAACAAGGUCUCCGUUGGUGAACCAGCGGAGGGAUCAUUAUAGAGUUUUCUAAACUCCCAACCCAUGUGAACUUACCAUUGUUGCCUCGGCAGAAGCUGCUCGGUGCACCUUACCCUGGAACGGCCUACCCUGUAGCGCCUUACCCUGGAACGGCCUACCCUGUAGCGGCUGCCGGUGGACUACCAAACUCUUGUUAUUGUAUUGUAAUCUGAGCGUCUUAUUUUAAUAAGUCAAAACUUUCAACAACGGAUCUCUUGGUUCUG